GGGAGAGAAACUCAAUUGGUUGAGUAUUAGUCUGUCGCAUUAAGAGGUUGCGGGUUCGAAUCCCGUCUCUCUCG
RNAcentral lists this transfer RNA (74 nucleotides) under Dasya binghamiae. RNAcentral's name for it is "tRNA-Asp". It matches the Rfam family "tRNA". Rfam says of the family: Transfer RNA (tRNA) molecules are approximately 80 nucleotides in length. Their secondary structure includes four short double-helical elements and three loops (D, anti-codon, and T loops). Lineage: Eukaryota; Rhodophyta; Florideophyceae; Ceramiales; Dasyaceae. The record is from RNAcentral.